Molecule: unclassified non-coding RNA, 331 nt
Filed under: soil metagenome
Description: partial contains 5.8S ribosomal RNA, internal transcribed spacer 2, and large subunit ribosomal RNA
Rfam family: 5.8S ribosomal RNA (bases 1-120)
Source: RNAcentral
GAUGAAGAACGUAGCGAAAUGCGAUAAGUAAUGUGAAUUGCAGAAUUCAGUGAAUCAUCGAAUCUUUGAACGCACAUUGCGCCCCCUGAUAUUCCGGGGGGCAUGCCUGUUCGAGCGUCAUUUCACCACUCAAGCCUCGCUUGGUAUUGGGCAACGCGGUCCGCCGCGUGCCUCAAAUCGACCGGCUGGGUCUUCUGUCCCCUAAGCGUUGUGGAAACUAUUCGCUAAAGGGUGUUCGGGAGGCUACGCCGUAAAACAACCCCAUUUCUAAGGUUGACCUCGGAUCAGGUAGGGAUACCCGCUGAACUUAAGCAUAUCAAUAAGCGGAGGA